This 1099-nucleotide long non-coding RNA is filed under the name Vulpes vulpes (red fox). Its description in RNAcentral is "lncRNA (ENSVVUG00000011916.1)". Lineage: Eukaryota; Metazoa; Chordata; Mammalia; Carnivora; Canidae. The record is from RNAcentral.
ACCAUGUUAAGUAAGUAGGGGGAAAUGAGGAAAUGGAUAGGCCUUGCCCCUAUGUUUAUAAUCUCAUAGGGAAUACAGAUGAAUAAAUGGCUCUUCCCACAUUGGGUGGUUAAUAUUUGUGAUGGGGAGGUGCAAGGUGCAAGGGAAACAGUUGGAGGGGCCCCAAUUCCCCUGACCACUCCACUGAAGCAGGUCACAACUGUACCCUACUCGCUGACCCCCACCCCCUUGCUCUUAUUGGUCUCUGGCCCACCAUCCUGUUUUAUUUCAUCAUAGUCCUAACACCAUCUGAAAUGAUAAUGUAUAUUUAUGUGUUUAUUUUUGGGUUUUGUGCCUUCUCCCACCAGAAUGGGUGUUCCACCAGGAGCAGGGACUAUGGAGAAUUUGUCAUCAGCAUGGAGACAGGAUCCAGAAAAGUACUGACAUGUAGUGCAUUUAGAAGGGACCUAGUUGGGGGAGGGGCUCAGAUUAGGUUUCUGCAAGAAAUUAUCUUCAGGUUGAGGCCUGAAGAAUGUGUUGGAGCUAACCAGGUUUCCUGGGAGUAGGGAGGAAGAUGGAGUAGAAGUUAGUGCUCUAAACUGAGAGAUGAGGAAAAUGAGGAACAAGUCCACUCAGCUACUAAUUCGUGGAGAACAAGAAUCACGUCCAGUCUGAUUCCAAGAUCUACACUCAUCCUAUCCAUAUUAUGCUGCCUUCUCAGGAUAGCAAGUAGUUUGGCUCCUUAAGUGACACUGGAUAUCUUUUUUAAAGAACCCAUGUGUUUGUUUAUGACAUGACUCAAUCUUGCUGGUGAUCUGGAAGGUCUGGUGCCUACUCAUGGAUUCUUUGAAUAAGCCCCAUGUUCUUGCUACUGAAUAAACAUGAUGUAUACCCCAUGUUAUCAAGAGGAUUCAUAGAUGAACAUGUGCUGGGUGCCUCUAAAGAAAGUAGAUCAACAAGUUUUUUUCUUUUGGUGAAGAGCAGAUGGGCUCAAAAUAAACCUCUGGUUCAUCAUACACGCUCAGACAACCCUCCAGGAAAGGGAGGUUUUUGCCCUCCUUUGCAAGGUCAGUCUCUUUCCAUUUUUUCCCCAAAUCCCCCCUCACCCCCACAGGCACUU